This 698-nucleotide ribosomal RNA is filed under the name Caloenas nicobarica (Nicobar pigeon). RNAcentral's name for it is "partial 12S ribosomal RNA". It matches the Rfam family "Bacterial small subunit ribosomal RNA", at positions 521 to 1508 of the family's 1533-position model. Lineage: Eukaryota; Metazoa; Chordata; Aves; Columbiformes; Columbidae. The record is from RNAcentral.
UCACACAAGGGACCCAAAUUAACCGUGAACGGCGUAAAGAGUGGACCCAUGGUUAUCAUAAUAAUUAAGGCCGAAAUGUAUCUGAGCUGUCAUAAGCCCAAGAUCCCCUUAAAGUCACCCUAAAGACGGCCUUAGUCUAUGAGAUUAAUUAAAUUCCACGAAAGCCAGGGUACAAACUGGGAUUAGAUACCCCACUAUGCCUGGCCCUAAAUCUAGAUGCUUGCCCCACUAAAGCAUCCGCCUGAGGACUACGAGCACAAACGCUUAAAACUCUAAGGACUUGGCGGUGCCCCAAACCCACCUAGAGGAGCCUGUUCUAUAAUCGACAACCCGCGAUACACCCGACCACUUUUUGCCAAAAACAGCCUACAUACCGCCGUCCCCAGCUCACCUCCUCUGAGAGAACAACAGUGAGCGUAAUUGCCCUAACCCCGCUAACAAGACAGGUCAAGGUAUAGCCUAUAAAGUGGAAGAAAUGGGCUACAUUUUCUAACCUAGAAAACCCCCUAUACGGAAAGGAAUAUGAAAUAACUCCUAGAAGGCGGAUUUAGCAGUAAAGUGGGAUAAUAAUGCCCUCUUUAAACCGGCUCUGAGGCACGUACAUACCGCCCGUCACCCUCCUCACAAGCUUCAACCCCAAUAAAUAAUCCAUUAACCCGCUAAAGAUGAGGUAAGUCGUAACAAGGUAAGUGUACCGG